ACUAUUUUGGCAGAUAAGUGCACUAGAUUUAGAAUCUAUAAAUGUAAAUUUUUGUUUACAGGUAGUA
This 67-nucleotide transfer RNA is filed under the name Astalotermes sp. D JRA-2021a. Its description in RNAcentral is "tRNA-Leu". It matches the Rfam family "tRNA". Rfam says of the family: Transfer RNA (tRNA) molecules are approximately 80 nucleotides in length. Their secondary structure includes four short double-helical elements and three loops (D, anti-codon, and T loops). Further hydrogen bonds mediate the characteristic L-shaped molecular structure. tRNAs have two regions of fundamental functional importance: the anti-codon, which is responsible for specific mRNA codon recognition, and the 3' end, to which the tRNAs corresponding amino acid is attached (by aminoacyl-tRNA synthetases). tRNAs cope with the degeneracy of the genetic code in two manners: having more than one tRNA (with a specific anti-codon) for a particular amino acid; and 'wobble' base-pairing, i.e. permitting non-standard base-pairing at the 3rd anti-codon position. The record is from RNAcentral. Lineage: Eukaryota; Metazoa; Arthropoda; Insecta; Blattodea; Termitidae.